RNAcentral lists this unclassified non-coding RNA (1686 nucleotides) under Hevea brasiliensis (rubber tree). Lineage: Eukaryota; Viridiplantae; Streptophyta; Magnoliopsida; Malpighiales; Euphorbiaceae. The record is from RNAcentral.
CACAAAUAGAAUCUCCUCAUAGAUCAAAAAUCUCAUCCUCCAAAGCAGAAUAUUCAUUUGAGUUAGUGUUCUAUUAAACAUUAUAGACUUACUAUUUAACAAAUUAUAUGCAUAUAUUAAUUAAACAAUUAAGUAGCCUGCAUCUCCAACAAAAGUACAUGUGCAUAUGAAUGGUGCAAAACUCCACCAUGCUCACCUGAGAAAGGAAGCAGCGUUUAGGUUUAGCACCAUCAAUCGCCAAUAGAUUCUCCUUGCUCCGAGGAAUGGUUCUUGACUUUCAGGGUCUUUUGGCUGUCGCUGAAGUAUUGGUUAGGAUGGUUAAUCCCAGCAUCACAUGAUAACCCAUGAAUAGCUUCAAAUGUCAAAGUGCACGCCAACUGAUAAUGUCUAUUUCGCACUUUGUCCAUUACAUCCUCCACUGCUCCGCCAUUUACUCCCAUUCUACAGAGUGCAGCCCUCAAGUUUUCCUCACUGAAAUGCCGAUAAGGGCAGCCAUGAUGAUCUCCAACACCUGGAGUUGAAGAGAUUAUCUUUUGACAAGAAUAAGGUGUAUAAUCUGUUCUCUUUCCCUCUCUUCCAUAAUUGUGGCGUAUGCUGUAGGCAUAUUCUUUGUCAAACCUCUCUCCACCAACCUUUUGGGAGAACUCUGCUUUCCAGAAUGCAAGAGCGUCAUCCAACUUCAAGCCAACACCCUUGAGAAAAAGGCCUAAUUGCAUCCUCCCUCCAUGCUUUAAAUGAUGAUCUUCUCUGAGUUUUUCAAACAGGUGGCGCAUGCAUAGAGGGAAUGAACUCUUAGCUACCAAGUCAAAGUCUUUAAUUGAUAUCUCAGCAAAUUCUUUAGGCUGAGAAUAGUCAGGACCCAGAUAGCUUGAGCAGAGUGCUUCCACAAUAGGAGUUAAGCGAUCCUUUUCCUGUUCUCUGAUCAUUGAUGUCCAUUUCCUGUUUGUUAGAAUGAGUGCCUUUGAUAGAAGACUUCGAAAUUGUGUAACAACAAGCGAAACAACCUGAUUCAUGGCAACAUAAGCAUGCCCUUUGCAGAUAAAAACCCUACGACCAGCUACAAGUUCUGGAACUUCUUCAAAUGGUACCUUGUAGAAUAUGACAUCAGAAGACAGUAUAGGCUGACCAAUCGAGCGUGUAACUUGAACCAAUUUUUCCUUUACACCCUCAAAUUCAGCCCUGGCAACCACCCUGUAUGGAAGUCCAAACUCUGCCAAUAGAGCCCUCUGAGCAUCAGCAGUCAAAAGGCGAAAUCUAUUGCGAAAGAGAGCAGUCUCCAUGGAAAGAAACCAUUUCCUGAGGUCCUCCGUUCUACAAUAAACUAGACGCAAAACAAAGUGGGAUAUAACAUCCUUGUUGAGGACUUCUAAUGCCUGUGGAUGCCUCAUAUUUAUUUUCCAUAGGUCAUUUACCAAUUUUUCCAUUUCUUCUGGCUUCUUCCCGCGGGACAAUCCAUCAGAGAUACCUUUGAGAACUCGAAGUCGAUCCAUGGCGUAGAGCUCGAAAUCUUCGAGUCUGACCUCAAGAGCAGGUGCAGAGCGAUAGAGAGGGAGUGUUGGAACGACGUCGUUGGAUGGAGGCUUCCACUGAGGUCGAACGAUCUCCAUUUUUCCAGCUUCUUAAUUUCGCUUUCUCUGAUAUUUCACACACAAUCUCAAAGUAGCAGCAGGAGGAGAGAACUGAGAG